This 847-nucleotide ribosomal RNA is filed under the name Streptomyces pratensis. Its description in RNAcentral is "bacterial SSU rRNA". It matches the Rfam family "Bacterial small subunit ribosomal RNA", at positions 53 to 916 of the family's 1533-position model. Lineage: Bacteria; Bacillati; Actinomycetota; Actinomycetes; Kitasatosporales; Streptomycetaceae. The record is from RNAcentral.
CCAUGCAAGUCGACGAUGAAGCCUUUCGGGGUGGAUUAGUGGCGAACGGGUGAGUAACACGUGGGCAAUCUGCCCUUCACUCUGGGACAAGCCCUGGAAACGGGGUCUAAUACCGGAUAACACUCUGUCCCGCAUGGGACGGGGUUAAAAGCUCCGGCGGUGAAGGAUGAGCCCGCGGCCUAUCAGCUUGUUGGUGGGGUAAUGGCCUACCAAGGCGACGACGGGUAGCCGGCCUGAGAGGGCGACCGGCCACACUGGGACUGAGACACGGCCCAGACUCCUACGGGAGGCAGCAGUGGGGAAUAUUGCACAAUGGGCGAAAGCCUGAUGCAGCGACGCCGCGUGAGGGAUGACGGCCUUCGGGUUGUAAACCUCUUUCAGCAGGGAAGAAGCGAAAGUGACGGUACCUGCAGAAGAAGCGCCGGCUAACUACGUGCCAGCAGCCGCGGUAAUACGUAGGGCGCAAGCGUUGUCCGGAAUUAUUGGGCGUAAAGAGCUCGUAGGCGGCUUGUCACGUCGGAUGUGAAAGCCCGGGGCUUAACCCCGGGUCUGCAUUCGAUACGGGCUAGCUAGAGUGUGGUAGGGGAGAUCGGAAUUCCUGGUGUAGCGGUGAAAUGCGCAGAUAUCAGGAGGAACACCGGUGGCGAAGGCGGAUCUCUGGGCCAUUACUGACGCUGAGGAGCGAAAGCGUGGGGAGCGAACAGGAUUAGAUACCCUGGUAGUCCACGCCGUAAACGUUGGGAACUAGGUGUUGGCGACAUUCCACGUCGUCGGUGCCGCAGCUAACGCAUUAAGUUCCCCGCCUGGGGAGUACGGCCGCAAGGCUAAAACUCAAAGGAAUUGACGG